This 244-nucleotide ribosomal RNA is filed under the name Euryarchaeota archaeon TMED103. RNAcentral's name for it is "partial 16S ribosomal RNA". It matches the Rfam family "Archaeal small subunit ribosomal RNA", at positions 1 to 258 of the family's 1478-position model. The record is from RNAcentral. Lineage: Archaea; Methanobacteriati; Methanobacteriota. RNAcentral also lists the same sequence under 1 other name.
AAAUCUGGUUGAUCCUGCCAGAGGCGACCGCUUUUGGAGUUCGAUUAAGCCAUGCGAGUCGAGAGCCUUAGGGGCUCGGCAUACUGCUCAGUAACACGUGGAUAACCUGCCCUAUCGUCUGGAAUAACCUCGGGAAACUGAGAAUAAGGCCGGAUAGUUCACAAAGCCUGGAACGGUUUGUGAAUCAAGGUAGGAUGGGUCUGCGGCGUAUCAGGUAGUAGGGGGUGUAAAGGACCCCCUAGCC